UAAAGGUUUGGUCCCGACUUUAUUAUCAGCUUUAGCCCAAUUUAUACAUGCAAGUACCCGCACCCCCGUGAGAAUGCCCUCAAUCCCCCGCCCGGGGACGAGGAGCUGGCAUCAGGCACACCACCAAAAUUUAAGCCCAAGACGCCUUGCUACGCCACACCCCCAAGGGAAUUCAGCAGUAACAAACAUUAAGCCAUAAGUGAAAACUUGACUUAGUUAGGGCUAAAAGGGUCGGUAAAACUCGUGCCAGCCACCGCGGUUAUACGAGAGACCCUAGUUGAUAAAUACGGCGUAAAGAGUGGUUAGAGGACUCCUAUAAUAAAGCCAAAGACCCUCCGGGCCGUCACACGCAUACGAGGGCGCGAAGUUCACACACGAAAGUAGCUUUAAAUUACCCGACGCCACGAAAGCUAAGAAACAAACUGGGAUUAGAUACCCCACUAUGCUUAGCCAUAAACACAGAUGUUAUUAUUACACAAACAUCCGCCAGGGUACUACAAGCGCUAGCUUAAAACCCAAAGGACUUGACGGUGUUUCAGACCCACCUAGAGGAGCCUGUUCUAGAACCGAUAAUCCCCGUUCAACCUCACCACCCCUUGCUCUUCCCGCCUAUAUACCGCCGUCGUAAGCUUACCCUGUGAAGGGCUUACAGUAAGCAAAAUGGGCAAGACCCAGAACGUCAGGUCGAGGUGUAGCUUAUGGAGUGGAAAGAAAUGGGCUACAUUUCCUUCACUAAAGGACAUUACGAACGACUUCAUGAAACUGAAGUCUCAAGGUGGAUUUAGCAGUAAACAUUAAUAGAGUAUUAUUUUGAAGCCGGCUCUGAAACGCGCACACACCGCCCGUCACUCUCCCCAUUUAUUAGCUUAACCUAAGUAAUUAACUAAAUACAUAAACCAGCGGGGAGGCAAGUCGUAACAUGGUAAGUGUACCGGAAGGUGCACUUGG
RNAcentral lists this non-coding RNA (948 nucleotides) under Hoplias malabaricus (trahira). Its description in RNAcentral is "12S ribosomal RNA". It matches the Rfam family "Bacterial small subunit ribosomal RNA". The record is from RNAcentral. Lineage: Eukaryota; Metazoa; Chordata; Actinopteri; Characiformes; Erythrinidae.